UGGGGAAUCUUGGACAAUGGGGCAACCCUGAUCCAGCCAUGCCGCGUGGGUGAUGAAGGCCUUAGGGUCGUAAAGCCCUUUUCGCCGGGGAAGAUAAAUGACGGUACCCGGUAAAGAAGCUCCGGCUAACUCCGUGCCAGCAGCCGCGGUAAUACGGAGGGGGCCUAGCGUUGUUCGGAAUGACUGGGCGUAAAGCGCGGCGUAGGCGGAUCGGAAAGUUGGGGGUGAAAUCCCGGGGCUCAACCUCGGAAUGGCCUUCAAAACUCCCCGGUCUUGAGUUCGAGAGAGGUGAGUGGAAUUCCGAGUGUAGAGGGUGAAAUUUCGUAGAUAUUCGGAGGAACACCAGUGGCGAAGGCGGCUCACUGGCUCGACACUGACG
This 379-nucleotide ribosomal RNA is filed under the name uncultured bacterium. Its description in RNAcentral is "partial 16S ribosomal RNA". It matches the Rfam family "Bacterial small subunit ribosomal RNA", at positions 355 to 745 of the family's 1533-position model. The record is from RNAcentral.